AGUGAACGCUGGCGGUAGGCCCAACACAUGCAAGUCGAACGGCAGCACAGAGGAGCUUGCUCCUUGGGUGGCGAGUGGCGGACGGGUGAGGAAUACAUCGGAAUCUACUCUGUCGUGGGGGAUAACGUAGGGAAACUUACGCUAAUACCGCAUACGACCUACGGGUGAAAGCAGGGGAUCUUCGGACCCUGCGCGAUUGAAUGAGCCGAUGUCGGAUUAGCUAGUUGGCGGGGUAAAGGCCCACCAAGGCGACGAUCCGUAGCUGGUCUGAGAGGAUGAUCAGCCACACUGGAACUGAGACACGGUCCAGACUCCUACGGGAGGCAGCAGUGGGGAAUAUUGGACAAUGGGCGUAAGCCUGAUCCAGCCAUACCGCGUGGGUGAAGAAGGCCUUCGGGUUGUAAAGCCCUUUUGUUGGGAAAGAAAUCCAUCUGGUUAAUACCCGGGUGGGAUGACGGUACCCAAAGAAUAAGCACCGGCUAACUUCGUGCCAGCCGCCGCAGUAA
RNAcentral lists this ribosomal RNA (506 nucleotides) under uncultured bacterium. RNAcentral describes it as "partial 16S ribosomal RNA". It matches the Rfam family "Bacterial small subunit ribosomal RNA", at positions 29 to 523 of the family's 1533-position model. The record is from RNAcentral.